This is an RNA transcript of Drosophila miranda, 1748 nucleotides long. RefSeq lists it as uncharacterized. The transcript has 3 exons. NCBI's taxonomy places the organism in Eukaryota, Metazoa, Arthropoda, Insecta, Diptera, Drosophilidae. The record is from RefSeq and is a predicted model, not a curated record.
UCCCGCGUUUUCCACCAUUUUGUUUUUGCGGAUAGUUGGCGUCGGCGGGUUUUAUUAUAACAAAAUCCCAAUUAAGUGAAAUAUAAUUUGCAAUUAAGAUCAAUGUGAAUUUUGUGCCAUUAGCCGACACGCAUUAGAAUGGCCGAGCAUGUAGAGUAUCUGGAUGAUCCCGAUAAAUCGGAGAACGACACGAAAGUUUACAAAUCUCUUGUGCUGUCGGCACCACCGGUCCAUAUAGGAUUGCCCAGCAACGUAUCCUGUGCCUUGAUGGUCAACCACGGUCCAUUCGCCGAUCCGCGCAACUAUCAGUGCCUGGCCCACCUUCUGCAGCAUAUUAUUUUCAUGCGCAGAAAGCCGGAUCCCAAGGAGAACAUCAACGGCCAAUGCUCCUCUUCAAUCUUAAGCGGGGACACGAUGUACUCCUCUAAAGCAUCCGUUGAUGCUGCAGGAGUCCACUGAAUGUGGCCGCGCUCUCGAGGAGUCUGAGUUUCAGCUGAUGGCAAACAAAAAUGAACAGCGUCGCAACCAACCGUUUGCCGGACUUGCCACCCAAGGCUAUCCGCAUGCCUUUUUCAACUGGGGUAACAUGCAAUUGUAGAAUGACAAUGAUGGCCAUCGCCUCCAAAAUAUGUCCCUUGCAGUGCUGCUAUGUGCGACUUGUACGUUUCAUUGGUAAAGCUCCAUUUGGACAAGGAACUGCAACUCGACGAAAGUGCCAAACUCAAUAGCCACUUCAGGGUCAGCGACAAUGGUCUGCGUCUGUUUGUGAGCCGCUACAAUGAAAAGAUCUGUUUGUGGAGGCUAUUGCCUAAGGUAUGGUCGAUGUGGGUACCACCCUCAAUGAAGGUAUUGACCGCCUGCCCCAAUAACCAGCGCGACUACUACUCCACAAUUCUGAACAAUCCAUGGACCCUCAGCAGCGAAUUCUAGUCAGUAUUCUGUAGUGCUGGGACAAAGCCAAUGCCUGACGAUUGUCAAGUACAAGUCCCUCAAUAGGAUCACUCUGGAGGAUUUUAAGGCAUUUGCCCAGAAAAUACCGCAGGAGCUGUAGUUCAAGGCCCACAAGGUGGUCCAUUCGUUACUCGGCCCACUAAAAUGCGAUGCCAUUAGGGAUAUGCGGCUCGUGGAGAAAGGAAUCGUAAAGCUUUACGCGUGGAGGUCAUACUCGACUUGUUAAAUAUGGGCAUCGGGCAUCGUCAAAUUUUUUAGACCAGAAUCCAAAUGAAAAUGAGUUGGACAUUGUAUUUCUGCCAAAAAAAAUGGAGAGGGAGAUAUGCGGACCAUUGUCGAUAUUGCCGAUUUCAAAAGCGGUACCCCAAACGCAACGAGGGAGGAGCUGUGGGAGGAAACUAGCCGUACCUCAAGCUUCGAGGAUGCCCUGAGAAAUCUGUGCACCAUCGUAGAAUCUUGAUGUUCAUACACUCACGAGAAAGUCAGACAAGGGACACACACUCUCCAGAUAAGUUUUUAAGUUGAAUUGAAUACUAGUAUUACAAGUAAUAAUUUCCAUACAUAUAUCAUUAUUUUUAAAAUAUUUUUAUUUACUUAUUCAUUUUUCAAAUGACCAAGUCAAAAAAUUGAUGGAUUCCUAAGUUUAAUUGAAUAAGAAUAAUAUUAAAAGUACAUUGUAUACAGAAUUCAACAUCUUCAUAUAUGGAUACGAAUGCUGUUGCCAGGCUGUGGCUGGGACCGUUUAAGGUCGUAUUUCACUAGCAAUAAAAAACUAUGUACUAUAGCAACAAACCCAA